UUGGAUUGAAAAUUAAAGAUGGUUAGAAAGGAAACACUGGUUUUUGUUCUCUUCUCAUACCUCUUCAUAAGUAUAGCAUUCUUAGUUAUUUCAACGAAUGGAGAUAAUAUAUUUGUGAAGGUUCCUAGGCCUGUACUAACAAAUAAGCAUUUGUUCAAAUAUGAUGAAUCUCGUGAGAAUUAUAAUAUCGAAGUUAACCAUUGUCCAUGUUGCGUAUGGAGUGAAGAUGUCCCCCGUCAUUGUGUGGAUUUGUGUUGCUAAUUGGACUCUAAAGUAGUGGCUGAUGGAGUGCUCAUCCAUGGAGACAGAGAUAUUGUAAUCGAUGAGAACUGUAAUAAAGUUUAUUGGUAUCAAUAAUAAUAAUGUGUGGCUGUGUUUAGCGUCA
Molecule: long non-coding RNA, 385 nt
Organism: Arachis ipaensis
Lineage: Eukaryota; Viridiplantae; Streptophyta; Magnoliopsida; Fabales; Fabaceae
Source: RefSeq, a predicted model, not a curated record